Cinara cedri is the source of this 234-nucleotide non-coding RNA. Lineage: Eukaryota; Metazoa; Arthropoda; Insecta; Hemiptera; Aphididae. The record is from the annotation of a GenBank genome assembly.
UUUCGGAUUUUCCAUUAUAUACGCGUACAAUUUAAAAAAAAAAAAAAAACGUUUUUCACGGCGAAAUUUACUUUUUCGGGUAAAUAUACUGCUGGACUACUGUUGUAGUAUUACGGCGGAUCCAAAUGCGCUAUGCAUACAUAUUCGAGUUAUUUACAACGCAGCAAUACAAUGACGGCGAAUUACUGCUAAAUACUGCGGCGCGAUUACGUUUUUUUACAGCAUCUCGGGGUG